AAAAUUUGAAAUGUUUGUUGAUUUUCGUCGUCCAAUCAGGGUUGAGUGUAUUUUGAGUUGUUCAACGACUUCCGCUUUUUGUCCAGCAAACCCGGCAAGCGGAUAUAUUUUGGCCGAAUUUUGUUAUUCCCUCACGGAUUUCAGAGCGAAUUUGAGCUCUUUGAUUAAAGCAUCGUUGUUUUGAGAGUUAUACGGUAUCAUUCUUGCAGGGGAUGUCGAGUAAUCGUGAAAGAAAUGCAUUAAAGGCGAAAAAUCGAGGAUAGUUUCGUGUGACAUAUGCCAAGUCUGGGC
Molecule: non-coding RNA, 291 nt
Organism: Paramuricea clavata
Lineage: Eukaryota; Metazoa; Cnidaria; Anthozoa; Malacalcyonacea; Plexauridae
Source: the annotation of a GenBank genome assembly